CCUACGGGAGGCAGCAGUGGGGAAUAGUGGGCAAUGGGCGCAAGCCUGACCCAGCAACGCCGCGGGAAGGAAGAAGGCGUUCGGGUUGUAAACUUCUUUUGACAGGGAAGAGGAGAAGACGGUACCUGUCGAAUAUGCCACGGCUAACGACGUGCCAGCAGCCGCGGUAAUACGUCGGUGGCAAGCGUUGUCCGGAUUUACGGGGUGGAAAGGGCGUGUAGCCGGGGUGACAAGUCAGAUGUGAAAUCCUGCGGCUUAACCGCAGAACUGCAUUUGAAACUGUUGAUCUUGAGUACUGGAGAGGCAGUCUGACUUCCUCGUGUAGCGGUGACAUGCGUAGAUAUUAGGAG
Molecule: ribosomal RNA, 350 nt
Filed under: uncultured bacterium
Lineage: Bacteria
Description: partial 16S ribosomal RNA
Rfam family: Bacterial small subunit ribosomal RNA
Source: RNAcentral